RNAcentral lists this transfer RNA (72 nucleotides) under Bos taurus (domestic cattle). It matches the Rfam family "tRNA". Rfam says of the family: Transfer RNA (tRNA) molecules are approximately 80 nucleotides in length. Their secondary structure includes four short double-helical elements and three loops (D, anti-codon, and T loops). Lineage: Eukaryota; Metazoa; Chordata; Mammalia; Artiodactyla; Bovidae. The record is from Rfam by way of RNAcentral. RNAcentral also lists the same sequence under 3 other names.
UCCCUAGUAGCUCAGUCAGUAAAGAAUCUGCCUGCAGUGUAGGAGACCCGGGUUCGAACCCCGGGUUGGGAA